RNAcentral lists this ribosomal RNA (441 nucleotides) under uncultured bacterium. RNAcentral describes it as "partial 16S ribosomal RNA". It matches the Rfam family "Bacterial small subunit ribosomal RNA", at positions 338 to 795 of the family's 1533-position model. The record is from RNAcentral.
CCUACGGGAGGCAGCAGUGGGGAAUAUUGCGCAAUGGGGGAAACCCUGACGCAGCAACGCCGCGUGAGUGAGGAAGUAUCUCGGUAUGUAAAGCUCUAUCAGCGGGGAAGAAGGAAGACGGUACCCGACUAAGAAGCCCCGGCUAACUACGUGCCAGCAGCCGCGGUAAUACGUAGGGGGCGAGCGUUAUCCGGAUUUACUGGGUGUAAAGGGAGCGUAGACGGCGUCGCAAGUCUGAAGUGAAAGCCCGUGGCUCAACCGCGGAACCGCUUUGGAAACUGUGAGGCUGGAGUGCUGGAGAGGUAAGCGGAAUUCCUGGUGUAGCGGUGAAAUGCGUAGAUAUCAGGAGGAACACCGGUGGCGAAGGCGACUAUCUGGCACAUAACUGACGCUGAGGAGCGAAAGCGUGGGUAGCAAACAGGAUUAGAUACCCUUGUAGUC